Non-coding RNA from Monodelphis domestica (gray short-tailed opossum), 1302 nucleotides. The record is from RefSeq and is a predicted model, not a curated record. NCBI's taxonomy places the organism in Eukaryota, Metazoa, Chordata, Mammalia, Didelphimorphia, Didelphidae.
CUUGCAAAACUGGUGCAAAGAACUGAGAAAUGCAAACCUAGGAAUGAUUGACAGUGGCAUGUGACCAAAGGUUGCAUGGGAGCCGAAGCCUGAGGGUUCUCGGUGAAGAUUCCAUCUUUGCCAACUGACUUUUCUUCUGGUCUCCUGAGGAAGUUGAGAGGAAGGAUGAAGAGGAUUUCCCUGUGUUCAAACUGAGUCCUGUAUCUGGCUGCUGGCAGUAUCAGUCUUACUUGGACAUCAGGACUUUCUUGGACAUCUAAUAACAACAAAUCCUGGCUCUAACUGUUUUUGGACUCAUGCUCAUUCUUCCUACUAUGGACUGUGACCUAUGCUAUGCUAGACAGCUUAGGAGCAGGUGGUAAGGACAGUCUCACUAUAAAUUCCAGAAGAGGCUUAGCCGAUGAAGUGAUGUGACGGGUGCUACCAGUGGCUGCUGAGCCUCCUCCUCAGGAAGAAUGAGUAACCCUGUGCCAUUUCAAUCACAGGGCUCUUACGCUGAUAACAUGCCACCCUACAGAAGGGGGUUUCUUAGGUCGGCAUCUCCGUAGGGAGAGCCUGACAGCUGUCGAUUGCUGAAAGAAAAUAGCGUGUUUCUGCUUGUUGAGCUCCAUUCUGCUCUCCUUCUGUUGAUGUUUUUAAUUAUUAAAGAAAAAGUGGCAUAUCACCUAAUUGAAAAUGAGUGAUUCCUAGCUUAAAUAUCAGAGAUCAAAGAACAGUGCAAAGAAAUAAAACCUGAAAAAAUCAAGCAAAAAUAAAUGAAAACUGGGGGGAAAUGUGCUCAUGUACUACCGUCAUUCCCUGAGAAAUUAUCAAAGAGAAAUAGAGGUGAUGCAUCUAUUGCUUAUCAAAGGAUAGGAAGUAAUGUUCAGAUUUGGCUUACCCCCAUGUCCCUCAUUCAUUAGCAUGCUCAUUUCAAGCACACACAGCUCUACCAACAGUAUUGGUGAUUGCUGCAAUCACACAGUUACCAAAUUAUGCUUUUGCUGAUUUAUUGUUCUUAUUCAGUCAUUUCAAUCACGCCUUACUCUUCAUGACCUUGGAGCAGUGUGCCGUUUCCUACUCCAGCUCAUUUUUCAGAAGAGGAAACCAAGGCAAACAAGGUUAAGUCCCUGAUCACACUGCUCAGGAGUGUCUGAAGUCAAAUUUUAAUUUGUAUCUUCCUGCAUUGAGGAUUAGUGCUCUGUCCACUGUGUCACUUUGUUGUCCACUUUUGCUGAUAAAUAAAACUUCCUUUUUUCCUCUUUCUGAAUAUUCACUAGUUCACUUUAUAUUAGGACAUUUCUUACCUAUUAUGUUAGGGUA